RNAcentral lists this ribosomal RNA (425 nucleotides) under uncultured anaerobic ammonium-oxidizing bacterium. RNAcentral describes it as "bacterial SSU rRNA". It matches the Rfam family "Bacterial small subunit ribosomal RNA", at positions 364 to 779 of the family's 1533-position model. The record is from RNAcentral.
UUUCGCAAUGCCCGAAAGGGUGACGAAGUGACGCCGCGUGAGUGAGGAAGGCCUUCGGGUUGUAAAGCUCUGUCAGGAGUUAAGAAAUGUAAGUGUGCUAAUACCACAUUUAUUUGACGAAGGCUCCAAAGGAAGCCACGGCUAACUCUCUGCCAGCAGCCGCGGUAAUACAGAGGUGGCAAGCGUUGUUCGGAAUUACUGGGCGUAAAGAGCACGUAGGUGGGCCUGUAAGUCAGCAGUGAAAACCUUCUGUUCAACAGAAGAAUUGCAUCUGAAAGGCCCGAGUCUUGAGUGUAGGAGGGGAGAAUGGAACUUCUGGUGGAGCGGUGAAAGGCGUAGAUAUCAGAAGGAACGCCAGUGGCGGAAGAGAUUGUGAAGCCUAUUACUCACGAUCAAUGUGCGAAAGGUAGGGGACAAACGGGUUU